Molecule: long non-coding RNA, 213 nt
Filed under: Carica papaya (papaya)
Lineage: Eukaryota; Viridiplantae; Streptophyta; Magnoliopsida; Brassicales; Caricaceae
Description: long non-coding RNA (CPAP_LNC004940)
Source: RNAcentral
UCCAUUCAAAGUUGGAACUUUUGUAGGACCCCAAACAUCAAAGUGCACAAGUAUAAAUGACAAAGAAUUUUUAUUUAAACUUAGUGGAAAAGUAACACAGUGGCUCUUUGCCAAUUCAUAGGUUUCACAUUUAAAUGAUGAUCAAGAUGCGUUUGAAAAUAAUUAGGGAACAAAUGCUUUAAAUAUCCAAAUUAAACAUGUCUAAAUUGCUUG